This 792-nucleotide ribosomal RNA is filed under the name Anigsteinia sp. SUAS-2016a. RNAcentral describes it as "eukaryotic LSU rRNA". It matches the Rfam family "Eukaryotic large subunit ribosomal RNA", at positions 1 to 887 of the family's 3401-position model. Lineage: Eukaryota; Ciliophora; Heterotrichea; Heterotrichida; Spirostomidae. The record is from RNAcentral.
GCGCCUGAAGUCAAGCAAGAACACCCGCUGAACUUAAGCAUAUCACUAAGCGGAGGAAAAGAAACUAACAAGGAUUACCUUAGUAACUGCGAGUGAACCGGUAACAGCUCAGACUUAAAAUCUCUUCUCUUCGGGAAGCGAAUUGUAAGCUGAAGACGCGGCCCUUACGCGAGUCAAUGUGGAGUAACUCGGUUGGAAUACCGGACCAUAGAGGGUGCUAGUCCCGUACCUCCUCAUCGACUGCGGUAGGACGUGUUCACAGAGUCGGGUAGUUUGGGAUUGCUGCCCAAAGUGGGAGGUAGACUCCUUCUAAAGCUAAAUACCUACAGGAGACCGAUAGCGAACAAGUACUGUGAAGGAAAGAUGAAAAGCACUUUGAAAAGAGAGUUAAAAGACUUGAAAUCGCUGAGGAGGAAGCAGUCAGCGUAGCUCAGUCUACAGCGCAAAGUUCCUCACGAGGGGCUAGAAGCUGCGACAGUGCAGAGUGGAGGUAGUGCGACGUGAGACCUAGUGCUGUCAGUACAAGGAUCUGCGCCAAACCACCUCAAGGCACUCCGGUGACUCUGCUGCUACGUUAACUGACCCGUCUUGAAACACGGACCAAGGAGUCUAACAUGCGUGCGAGUAGGAGGGUGUCAAACCCCACUGCGCAACGAAAGUGAACCUUGCCAAAUUGGCAGCAAGGACCGCGUCUAGCGAGUUCAGCAGGCAUGUUGGGACCCGAAAGAUGGUGAACUAUGCUUGGGAAAGGCGAAGCCAGGGGAAACUCUGGUGGAGGCUUGUAGAGAUACU